Stylophora pistillata is the source of this 336-nucleotide long non-coding RNA. The record is from RefSeq and is a predicted model, not a curated record. NCBI's taxonomy places the organism in Eukaryota, Metazoa, Cnidaria, Anthozoa, Scleractinia, Pocilloporidae.
GCACACUGAUUGGGUGGUGAUUAAAAGAUGGCGUAGCAGAAUAUCCGAAGUUGAUAUCGAGUACACUGAUUGGGUGUUGAUUAAAAACAUGCGUAGGAGAAUGUCCGAAGCUGAUACCAAGGACUUGGAUCCUUUAUGGUCUCAAGGACAGGUACCUAUUAAGCUCAAUGGUAUUAUGGUUGUAUUUUUUAUGUAAAAUUUAGUCAAAGUUCUAAAUCAGAUCUUUCAAUGUCAGUUCAUAGUUCUGUGGCAUGUCUUAUAAACUCAGUGCUGUACUUCUGAAUAUGUUAUUUUCAUGGCGUGUAAAGAUUUUUGUUACUGCUUUGCUUGAAAUGA